Molecule: ribosomal RNA, 550 nt
Filed under: Pseudomonas sp.
Lineage: Bacteria; Pseudomonadati; Pseudomonadota; Gammaproteobacteria; Pseudomonadales; Pseudomonadaceae
Description: bacterial SSU rRNA
Rfam family: Bacterial small subunit ribosomal RNA
Source: RNAcentral
GGGUGAGUAAUGCCUAGGAAUCUGCCUAGUAGUGGGGGAUAACGUCCGGAAACGGGCGCUAAUACCGCAUACGUCCUACGGGAGAAAGUGGGGGAUCUUCGGACCUCACGCUAUUAGAUGAGCCUAGGUCGGAUUAGCUAGUUGGUGAGGUAAUGGCUCACCAAGGCGACGAUCCGUAACUGGUCUGAGAGGAUGAUCAGUCACACUGGAACUGAGACACGGUCCAGACUCCUACGGGAGGCAGCAGUGGGGAAUAUUGGACAAUGGGCGAAAGCCUGAUCCAGCCAUGCCGCGUGUGUGAAGAAGGUCUUCGGAUUGUAAAGCACUUUAAGUUGGGAGGAAGGGCAGUUACCUAAUACGUGAUUGUUUUGACGUUACCGACAGAAUAAGCACCGGCUAACUCUGUGCCAGCAGCCGCGGUAAUACAGAGGGUGCAAGCGUUAAUCGGAAUUACUGGGCGUAAAGCGCGCGUAGGUGGUUUGUUAAGUUGGAUGUGAAAGCCCCGGGCUCAACCUGGGAACUGCAUCCCAAACUGGCAAGCUAGAGUAUG